GUUGUAGCUCAGUGGUAGAGUGUUUGCUCCUCAUGUAUGAGACCCUGGGAUCGAGCCUCAGCACCACA
Molecule: transfer RNA, 68 nt
Filed under: Marmota monax (woodchuck)
Lineage: Eukaryota; Metazoa; Chordata; Mammalia; Rodentia; Sciuridae
Description: tRNA.Glu
Source: RNAcentral